RNAcentral lists this ribosomal RNA (253 nucleotides) under uncultured bacterium. Its description in RNAcentral is "partial 16S ribosomal RNA". It matches the Rfam family "Bacterial small subunit ribosomal RNA", at positions 524 to 776 of the family's 1533-position model. The record is from RNAcentral.
UACGGAGGGUGCGAGCGUUGUUCGGAAUUAUUGGGCGUAAAGCGCGUGUAGGCGGCUCCUUAAGUCUGAUGUGAAAGCCCCGGGCUCAACCUGGGGAGUGCAUUGGAAACUGGGGAACUUGAAUACGGGAGAGGGUAGUGGAAUUCCUGGUGUAGGAGUGAAAUCCGUAGAUAUCAGGAGGAACACCGGUGGCGAAGGCGGCUGCCUGGACCGAUAUUGACGCUGAGACGCGAAAGCGUGGGGAGCAAACAGG